This 253-nucleotide ribosomal RNA is filed under the name uncultured bacterium. RNAcentral's name for it is "partial 16S ribosomal RNA". It matches the Rfam family "Bacterial small subunit ribosomal RNA", at positions 524 to 776 of the family's 1533-position model. The record is from RNAcentral.
UACGUAGGAUGCUAGCGUUGUCCGGAUUUACUGGGCGUAAAGCGCGCGCAGGCGGCACUGUAAGUCAGGUGUGAAAUAUCCCUGCUCAACGGGGAGGGUGCACUUUAGACUGCAGAGCUAGAGGACGGUAGAGGGGGGUGGAAUUGCUGGUGUAGCGGUGAAAUGCGUAGAGAUCAGGAGGAACACCCGUGGCGAAGGCGGCCCCCUGGGCCGAACCUGACGCUGAGGCGCGAAGGCUAGGGGAGCGAACGGG